AAAAGUGUUUAUAGUUUUUAUUCCAUCCAUGCAAAGUGAAGGGGUGAACAAGUACGGGUAUUUGACCCAAAUGCCACAAUGUUGAAAUAGAAGUCCCAAAAUGCCACCCCCAAAAAAAUUCUCAGAAUGCCAUUUUUUUGGUCAUUUAGUGAGAUUUUUUAAUAUUUUAUUUGCACCCUCCAUCUUGAAUGACGGAUGCGUCAGAAACCCAAUUGGGAUCCGACAUCUCAGAUGGAGUCCCCCUUUUUUUUCGCUUUUAAUUUUUUUAUUUAUUUUUG
This 278-nucleotide long non-coding RNA is filed under the name Lathyrus oleraceus (garden pea). RNAcentral describes it as "Pisum sativum (pea) long non-coding RNA (PSAT_LNC023719)". Lineage: Eukaryota; Viridiplantae; Streptophyta; Magnoliopsida; Fabales; Fabaceae. The record is from RNAcentral.